UACAGAGACUGCAAGCGUUAUUCGGAUUCACUGGGCGUAAAGGGUGCGCAGGCGGCCAAGUGUGUGAGGCGUGAAAGCCCGGGGCUUAACCCCGGAAUUGCACCUCAAACUACAUGGCUAGAGCAUUGGAGAGGGUAGCAGAAUUCAUGGUGUAGCAGUGAAAUGCGUAGAUAUCAUGAGGAAUACCAGAGGCGAAGGCGGCUACCUGGACAAUUGCUGACACUGAGGCACAAAGGCCAGGGGAGCAAACGGG
Molecule: ribosomal RNA, 253 nt
Filed under: uncultured bacterium
Lineage: Bacteria
Description: partial 16S ribosomal RNA
Rfam family: Bacterial small subunit ribosomal RNA
Source: RNAcentral